CCUACGGGAGGCAGCAGUGGGGAAUAUUGGGCAAUGGGCGCAAGCCUGACCCAGCAACGCCGCGUGAAGGAAGAAGGCUUUCGGGUUGUAAACUUCUUUUCUCAGGGACGAAGCAAGUGACGGUACCUGAGGAAUAAGCCACGGCUAACUACGUGCCAGCAGCCGCGGUAAUACGUAGGUGGCAAGCGUUAUCCGAAUUUACUGGGUGUAGAGGGCGUGUAGGCGGGACUGCAAGUCAGAUGUGAAAACCAUGGGCUAAACCUAUGGCCUGCAUUUGAAACUGUAGUUCUUGAGUACUGGAGAGGUAGAAGGAAUUCGUAGUGUAGCGGUGAAAUGCGUAGAUAUUAGGAGGAACACCAGUUGCGAAGGCGGUUCGCUGGACAGCAACUGACGCUGAGGCGCGAAAGCGUGGGGAGCAAACAGGAUUAGAUACCCUUGUAGUC
This 443-nucleotide ribosomal RNA is filed under the name uncultured bacterium. RNAcentral describes it as "partial 16S ribosomal RNA". It matches the Rfam family "Bacterial small subunit ribosomal RNA", at positions 338 to 795 of the family's 1533-position model. The record is from RNAcentral.